Molecule: long non-coding RNA, 534 nt
Organism: Alosa sapidissima (American shad)
Lineage: Eukaryota; Metazoa; Chordata; Actinopteri; Clupeiformes; Clupeidae
Exons: 3
Source: RefSeq, a predicted model, not a curated record
AGGAAGUCCAGCACUGUGCACACAGCGGCAUCACUGGCCCUCACCACGAACGGCACGCUCUGGCCCACGCUCUCACCCAAUCACGGCAAAUGCCGGCAGCUCCUGCAGGUCGAACGGGAAGUCCAUGCGGAAUUUGGUGCGGAAGAGAGCAGUGAUGGUGACUACAAGAGACAAAGAACAUGGAAUGUGGACGCCGGCUCACCUCCAAGGGGGGUCCCGAAACAGCAUCCCACCCCAACAGCACAUCCCACGGUCAGGAUGUCAGUAUAACAAUAGGGGCUCUACUGACACAUGGGAGAGGGCAUGAAAAAGAAAGAGAAGACCCCCGAGAAGAAAGUCAUGAACUGGCUGAGCGAAGCAGCACAGAUGCUGGCUAUGUGAACAAAAGGACCCUGUUUUAAACAGACGAAUAAGAGGAGGAAGGGGGGAAAAAGCAUAAACCGCUUUGACAGCCCUGUGACAGAAAGGCAGAAGGCGAAUAACAAGCAGACGAGAGGAGAUGGAACUGGGUCAAGAAGACGGUAACGUGAGAGA